RNAcentral lists this ribosomal RNA (537 nucleotides) under Colletotrichum gloeosporioides. RNAcentral's name for it is "eukaryotic LSU rRNA". The stretch from base 178 to 331 matches the Rfam family "5.8S ribosomal RNA". The record is from RNAcentral. Lineage: Eukaryota; Fungi; Ascomycota; Sordariomycetes; Glomerellales; Glomerellaceae.
CAUUACUGAGUUUACGCUCUAUAACCCUUUGUGAACAUACCUAUAACUGUUGCUUCGGCGGGUAGGGUCUCCGUGACCCUCCCGGCCUCCCGCCCCCGGGCGGGUCGGCGCCCGCCGGAGGAUAACCAAACUCUGAUUUAACGACGUUUCUUCUGAGUGGUACAAGCAAAUAAUCAAAACUUUUAACAACGGAUCUCUUGGUUCUGGCAUCGAUGAAGAACGCAGCGAAAUGCGAUAAGUAAUGUGAAUUGCAGAAUUCAGUGAAUCAUCGAAUCUUUGAACGCACAUUGCGCCCGCCAGCAUUCUGGCGGGCAUGCCUGUUCGAGCGUCAUUUCAACCCUCAAGCUCUGCUUGGUGUUGGGGCCCUACAGCUGAUGUAGGCCCUCAAAGGUAGUGGCGGACCCUCCCGGAGCCUCCUUUGCGUAGUAACUUUACGUCUCGCACUGGGAUCCGGAGGGACUCUUGCCGUAAAACCCCCCAAUUUUCCAAAGGUUGACCUCGGAUCAGGUAGGAAUACCCGCUGAACUUAAGCAUAUC